CAGGACGUAGCUAAGACAGCAAAGCACCUCCCUUACACUGAGGAGUCGUCUGUGCAAAUCAGACCGCCCUGA
RNAcentral lists this transfer RNA (72 nucleotides) under Oedalechilus labeo (boxlip mullet). RNAcentral's name for it is "tRNA-Val". It matches the Rfam family "tRNA". Rfam says of the family: Transfer RNA (tRNA) molecules are approximately 80 nucleotides in length. Their secondary structure includes four short double-helical elements and three loops (D, anti-codon, and T loops). Further hydrogen bonds mediate the characteristic L-shaped molecular structure. tRNAs have two regions of fundamental functional importance: the anti-codon, which is responsible for specific mRNA codon recognition, and the 3' end, to which the tRNAs corresponding amino acid is attached (by aminoacyl-tRNA synthetases). tRNAs cope with the degeneracy of the genetic code in two manners: having more than one tRNA (with a specific anti-codon) for a particular amino acid; and 'wobble' base-pairing, i.e. permitting non-standard base-pairing at the 3rd anti-codon position. The record is from RNAcentral. Lineage: Eukaryota; Metazoa; Chordata; Actinopteri; Mugiliformes; Mugilidae.